UACGUAGGGACCAAGCGUUGUCCGGAAUCAUUGGGCGUAAAGAGCGUGUAGGCGGCUUGUUAAGUCUUGCGUGAAAUCUCGGGGCUCAACCCCGAGCGGUCGUGAGAAACUGGCAGGCUAGAGUCCGGAAGAGGAAAGUGGAAUUCCUGGUGUAGCGGUGAAAUGCGCAGAUAUCAGGAAGAACACCAAUGGCGAAAGCAGCUUUCUGGGACGGUACUGACGCUGAGACGCGAAAGCGUGGGGAGCGAACAGG
This 253-nucleotide ribosomal RNA is filed under the name uncultured bacterium. Its description in RNAcentral is "partial 16S ribosomal RNA". It matches the Rfam family "Bacterial small subunit ribosomal RNA", at positions 524 to 776 of the family's 1533-position model. The record is from RNAcentral.